Molecule: unclassified non-coding RNA, 249 nt
Filed under: Hevea brasiliensis (rubber tree)
Lineage: Eukaryota; Viridiplantae; Streptophyta; Magnoliopsida; Malpighiales; Euphorbiaceae
Source: RNAcentral
GAAAAGGCACUGCAGCAUACGUGGUGCAUCACAACUUAUCAUUUUCAUACACAUGAAAGAUUACGCUAUCAGUAACUCAAAAUGAAAAUCUUUUAUAAAGUAUAGAGCAUAAAUCUUAAUUUCUAGAUUUCUUAGUUCAUAAUAGGCACAAAUAGCAGUUGUUAACCCCAUAUAUUGCCAUAAAAAAUACCCAUCAAAGAAUAUCAAUCAAAAUUACAAAGAACACCUCUGUUGUUGUUCCUUCUCAGC